GUCAGAAUGGCCGAGUGGUCUAAGGUGCCAGAGUCAAGUUCUGGUCUCCGAAUGGAGGCGUGGGUUCAAAUCCCACUUCUGACA
Molecule: transfer RNA, 84 nt
Filed under: Danio rerio (zebrafish)
Lineage: Eukaryota; Metazoa; Chordata; Actinopteri; Cypriniformes; Danionidae
Description: tRNA-Leu (CAA) (tRNA-Leu-CAA-27-1)
Rfam family: tRNA
About the family: Transfer RNA (tRNA) molecules are approximately 80 nucleotides in length. Their secondary structure includes four short double-helical elements and three loops (D, anti-codon, and T loops).
Source: RNAcentral